GAGUCUUAUGUUCCAAAUUUUACACAAGACAGGCAAAAUCAGUAGUAUUAUGCGAAAGCAUAGCAUCUAUGUAUGGACCAAAUCAUCAUCAACACAUAUGAAACAUUUCGAUUCUACCUCUCAACCUAACAACAACAACAAAUCAAUGGGUUCUUCAUUUUCAUCCCUUUUCUUCUCUAACCCUCGCCCUUUACGCCCUCUUCUAAACCAAUUCCAAUUCCUAUCUCAUUUUUCCUCUUCGCACCCUCAAUUUCUCAGCCAAAUCUACCCCACCCACUUCGUUGCCUCCUCUUCCUCCAGACCCACGCGGAGAAGAAGUCGUUUGUGGUGGAAACGGGAUCGACACACAUAAAAGUAAGGAGAUUUUUUCUUUUCAAAACUUUGAACUACAAAUAGAGAAAUCUAAGGAAUUGCAUCCUUUCCAAAUCUCACGUGCAUUUUAUACUGCAUAUUAGCUUUGGCAAUAACUUAUGUGGCAUAGACCAUUAAUGGAGCACUUGGAUAAGAAGAAAAAAUCUAUCUAUACUAAGAAAAGGAAUAAAAUGAGUGUCUAAAUACUUGUAAAUACCGGCAGAUACGUUUUCUGAAAAGCAAUUUCCCAAAUUUUCAUGGUGCACAACUCGUAUCUCUCGCCACUACUUCAGUCCACAAAUAUCCCAUCAGAUUGACAUGAAACCCAUCUUCCUCUUCUGAUAUGAAACCAAAUUCUGCUUUGCUAAAAAAGUAGAAAUUAGACCAUAAAAUUGAUUUUUUAAGAAAAAACUAAUGAAUUUUCAAUGAUCGAAAAAGAAAUUGUGGAAAGAAAAUUCAUUUUUUGGAAAAUCAAUGAAGUGUUUUGCUUACGAACUGAAGCGAGGUUUUUUUUUUUGUGAAAGAACGGAAGAGAGGUUUUCUCAUUAUCUAUAUAUAUAUAUAUAUAUAUAUAUAUAUAUAGGAGAUUACUCUUUUAAAUCCUAAUUAAUCAUACCUCCAUUGCUUAAACGUUUCAUUAUUUAUUAUUGCACUAUAUUCCUCUUUUUCUUUCCUUUAAAAUUCACUAACUUCUCAAUUUUCAUUAGACAUCUACAAUACUAGAGAAUAUGGCUGCGCUUCACGCGUGCUUUAAAGUAUAUGUAUUUGAUUAAAUUUUCUUUUUGAUUAUUUAAGCAUUUUUUAUAUUAUCUGUAAUAUAAUUAUAUGUUGAUCUGAUGUAGAUUAUAAUUAUAGGAGAAGUAAGGUUAUCAAGUUUAGAGUAAUGGAUAGUAGUAUAUUGUUAGUUAAUAAAUAUAAAAAUAUUGUAUAAAAUCAAUUUAUAUUGUAUAAAAUCUAUUUUAUUUCAUUUCUAUUAUAGGAACCAUAUAUUUGAUAAUAUUUAGUGUAAAUUGAAGAAAGUGAACACGAAGGCUGUUAAAAAAUAUCUCCUCAAUUAGAAUGCUAUUAACAUUAGACAUUUGUAUACCUUGUACUUCGGUGGACAUGAUAGUUAAUGCACAGUUAUUGCAAAUUUUGAGCUUUAGAUGAUUGAAAGCUCAGACUUUCAAUAUAACUGUCAUUAUUUAUAAUUACAAAUUUCAUCUCUAUUGUUUUUUAUAUUUCCACAAUCUGAUCUUGAGGUUAUACCAAAGCUACAUGAGCAGUCUCAUACUGAAAUAAAUAACAUCAACAGAAAGCAUUUAGCACUUGGUAUCAACAUGCAUGUUGCCCUUAGUUUUCAAAAUUGUUGCUGCGCAGAUCUAGUCUAGUUGAGCUGGAGUUGAAAAAAUUUAGUGAAAUAAUUUGGAAUAUGCUAAUUUUAUUUCCUAAGAACCAAUUAAGCAUGUCACUUAUACCUAUGUUAGUUUCUUAAUUCAUAUACUAAAAUAAUAUUAAUUGUGUUUUACAAUUUCGAUUAUUGAUCAUUAUAUAUUAUUUAAGAUACAUCUAAACAUUCAAAUGAGAGAGGACCAGAGAAAUCCUGAAUGCACCCAUCCGAAAAAGAUAAUUUGCUAAAAGCUUUGAUCUCUGCUUAAAUAAAACGCCGUUGGGACUAUUUUUGUGCUUACUAUAAGUGCCUAGUUUUUCUCUUGUAAUCUCCACUCUGAUGAUCCAAACUUUAUCUAUUGUGCUGCAAGUAAACCUGAAAAUGAGUAUUUUCUAUUGUGAUCUUCUCUACUAACUAAGAGUUGAGGUGUAGUCAAAUGACACAUUAGACAAUCCAUAUCAUUCAGUAUUUGUUUUAUUAUUUCACCAAAAUUUCACAUUGGUAUUAGGUUACCCCAAUAGAGAUGGUGGUUAAGGACGAACCUCACACUUCUCUUCAAUACAUUAGACGUUACAACACCAGAAGUCAACAUAUAAUAAAACUCCACUGCUUUCGUACUACAGUCUAGUUGUUUCGCCUUUUCAAGUUUGGCUCCAAUCUCUACGAGCUCAGCAACAACUUCUUGGACUGAGCCACCAGCUUAAGGUUAUUUUUGAAAACAAAAUAAAUUCCAAUAAUUUAGAGUUUAAUUAUAGAAAAUUUCAAUAUUUUACAUAAUUACUGAACAAUUCAAUUUUGGGUCUGUCGAGAUUCCGACUUAGUUCUCAAUACAUCCCACGAAGAUACAUUUCUUCCUUUAUAAUGAUACAUAAUUAGCUCCUAAUACAUUUUUUUUUUUAUUUAGGCCAAUCAAGAUACAUAAUACAUCCAACACAGAUGCAUUUUUUCUUUGUAUAUAUACAUAAUUAGCUCUCGAUAUUUUUUUUUUUUCGAUUUUGAAUUUGUCGAGAUACAUAAUUAGCUCCAGGUACAUCCAAUGAAGAUACACAAUUAGUUGAGAUUUUUGUAAUGUACUUUAUAAGGGUGGAGAUUUGUGUAAAUUUAAUAAGUUAAAAAUGUGUUUAUGUUAUUUUUCCUGUUAACAAAGGCCAUCUCCAUAAGCAUUUUGGAAGGGAAUAAUUCCAUUCGAAUAAUAUUUAAAUGGACAAUGACAAGUCACUAUUAAAGCAAUGUCCAUGUACAAAUUCCAAGUAAAUGAGAAAAAAAUAAAAUCUUUUAGACGCCAUAUUGAGAUCCCUUCAUAUUUAAUUAUAAGGCUCAAGUAGGAGUCUUCAAAUGAAAAACUUCAUAAUAAGCCUUUCGAUGUAAAUCCAAAUUAGUCGAACCAGUAAAUUUCAUAUCGUCACCUUUUUUAUUACCUCGGGCUUGUGUGGUUUUCUAGCUUCCUAUUCUCUCUUCUUUGUCGUCGUUGUAGUUUCUUACUCUGCUGCAUUUUCUUUAGAUGAAACUAUGGUAAUUAGUUGCAGACUGCAACAUCCUUUG
Molecule: long non-coding RNA, 3262 nt
Filed under: Capsicum annuum
Lineage: Eukaryota; Viridiplantae; Streptophyta; Magnoliopsida; Solanales; Solanaceae
Description: long non-coding RNA (CANN_LNC014358)
Source: RNAcentral